RNAcentral lists this ribosomal RNA (511 nucleotides) under Cryptosporidium meleagridis. RNAcentral's name for it is "partial 18S ribosomal RNA". It matches the Rfam family "Eukaryotic small subunit ribosomal RNA", at positions 545 to 1060 of the family's 1831-position model. The record is from RNAcentral. Lineage: Eukaryota; Apicomplexa; Conoidasida; Eucoccidiorida; Cryptosporidiidae.
CCAUUGGAAGGGAAAUUAUGGUGCCAGCAAGCCCCGGUAUUCCCAGCUCCCAAUGGGGAUAUUAAAGUUGUUGCGGUUAAAAAGCUGGUAGUUGAACUUGGGGUGGGGCGGCCCGGUCCCGCCCCCGAGUUGGUACUGGUCGGACGGACCCUUCCUUUUAGGAUAUCAUAAUUGUCUUUCAUUGGAUGGGUAUGAAACCCUAAUCUUUUUUGUAAAAAAAAAAAAGUUUUAAAAAAGCACGCAUAUCCUUUAAAUAAUCCAGCAUAAUAAUAUAUUAAAGACUUUUUCUUUUUUGUUGGUUAGAAGAUCAAGGUAAUGAUUAAUAGGGACAGUUGGGGGCAUUUGUAUUUAACAGUCAGAGGUGAAAUUCUUAGAUUUGUUAAAGACAAACUAAUGCGAAAGCAUUUGCCAAGGAUGUUUUCAUUAAUCAAGAACGAAAGUUAGGGGAUCGAAGACGAUCAGAUACCGUCGUAGUCUUAACCAGAAACUAUGCCAGGUAGAGACGAAGGAA